Molecule: ribosomal RNA, 1801 nt
Filed under: uncultured eukaryote
Lineage: Eukaryota
Description: SSU rRNA
Rfam family: Eukaryotic small subunit ribosomal RNA
Source: RNAcentral
UACCUGGUUGAUCCUGCCAGUAGUCAUAUGCUUGUCUCAAAGAUUAAGCCAUGCAUGUCUAAGUACAAGCCUGAAUAAGGUGAAACCGCGAAUGGCUCAUUAAAUCACACCUAAUGUACCUGGAAGUUCCAUUACUUGGAUAACUGCGGUAAUUCUGGAGCUAAUACAUGCUAAAGAGCCCUGACUCACGGAGGGGCGCAUUUAUUAGAUCAAAACCAAACGCUUCGGCGUUCAUUGGUGAAUCUGAAUAACUUUUGCUGAUCGUAUGGCUCAACGCCGACGACGUUCCAGUCCAAGGUGUGCCCUAUCAACUUUCGACUGUGAUAUAGACGCUCACAGUGGUUUUGACGGGUAACGGGGAAUUAGGGUUCGAUUCCGGAGAGGGAGCCUGAGAAACGGCUACCACUUCUAAGGAAGGCAGCAGGCACGCAAAUUACCCAAUGGUCGAAGACCGAGGUAGUGACGAAAAAUAACGAUACCGGUCUCUUCCGAGGCCCGGUAAUCGGAAUGAGUACACUUUAAAUCCUUUAACGAGGAACAAUUGGAGGGCAAGUCUGGUGCCAGCAGCCGCGGUAAUUCCAGCUCCAAUAGCGUAUAUUAAAGUUGUUGCGGUUAAAAAGCUCGUAGUUGGAUUUCGGCGAUCAGGGGCCGGUGAUAUAUUUGUAUCUACUGGCCCAUUUGGUCGUAUUUUUGAAAGAGGGUUUGGAGUCCCCUUCACUGGGUGUCCUAGGUCGCUUUCAGGUUUACUUUGAAAAAAUUAGAGUGCUCAAAGCAGGCUUUAACGCUUGAAUAUUCGUGCAUGGAAUAAUAGAAUAGGAAGUUCGUUUCUAUUUUGUUGGUUUUAGGAUAACGACUUAAUGAUUAAUAGGGACAAUCGGGGGAAUUAGUAUUCAAACGACAGAGGUGAAAUUCUUGGACCGUUUGAAGACUAACUACUGCGAAAGCAUUUUCCAAGAGUGUUUUCAUUAAUCAAGAACGAAAGUUAGAGGUUCGAAGGCGAUCAGAUACCGCCCUAGUUCUAACCAUAAACGAUGCCAGCUAGCGAUCUGCCGCUGUUUUUACUGUAGACUCGGCAGGAAGCUUCCGGGAAGCCAAAGCAUUUGGGUUUCAGGGGAAGUAUGGUUGCAAAGCUGAAACUUAAAGGAAUUGACGGAAGGGCACCACCAGGAGUGGAGCCUGUGGCUUAAUUUGACUCAACACGGGAAAUCUCACCAGGCCCGGACACUGGAAGGAUUGACAGAUUGAUAGCUCUUUCUUGAUUCGGUGGGUGGUGGUGCAUGGCCGUUCUUAGUUGGUGGAGUGAUUUGUCUGGUUAAUUCCGUUAACGAACGAGACCUUAUCCUGCUAAAUAGUGACUUGUAUCUCCGGAUAUAAGUUAUCUUCUUAGAGGGACUUUGUGAUUUUAAGCGCAAGGAAGUUUGAGGCAAUAACAGGUCUGUGAUGCCCUUAGAUGUUCUGGGCUGCACGCGCGCUACACUGAUGCGUUCAACGAGCAUAUAACCUUGCCCGGUAGGGUUGGGUAAUCUUUUGAAAACGCAUCGUGAUGGGGAUAGAUUAUUGUAAUUAUUAAUCUUCAACGAGGAAUUCCUAGUAAGUGCGAGUCAUCAGCUCGCGCUGAUUACGUCCCUGCCCUUUGUACGCACCGCCCGUCGCUCCUACCGAUUGAGUGGUCCGGUGAAUAAUUCGGACUGGUGCCGAUCUCGGUUCUCCGAGUUCGGCGCUGGGAAGUCUAGUGAACCUUAUCACUUAGAGGAAGGAGAAGUCGUAACAAGGUUUCCGUAGGUGAACCUGCAGAAGGAUC